GACGAACGCUGGCGGCGCGCCUAACACAUGCAAGUCGAACGAGCGAGCGAGAGCUUGCUUUCUUGAGCGAGUGGCGAACGGGUGAGUAACGCGUGAGGAACCUGCCUCAAAGAGGGGGACAACAGUUGGAAACGACUGCUAAUACCGCAUAAGCCCACGGUGCCGCAUGGCACAGAGGGAAAAGGAGCAAUCCGCUUUGAGAUGGCCUCGCGUCCGAUUAGCUAGUUGGUGAGGUAACGGCCCACCAAGGCGACGAUCGGUAGCCGGACUGAGAGGUUGAACGGCCACAUUGGGACUGAGACACGGCCCAGACUCCUACGGGAGGCAGCAGUGGGGAAUAGUGCACAAUGGGGGAAACCCUGAUGCAGCGACGCCGCGUGGAGGAAGAAGGUCUUCGGAUUGUAAACUCCUGUUGUUGGGGAAGAUAAUGACGGUACCCAACAAGGAAGUGACGGCUAACUACGUG
Molecule: ribosomal RNA, 466 nt
Filed under: uncultured bacterium
Lineage: Bacteria
Description: partial 16S ribosomal RNA
Rfam family: Bacterial small subunit ribosomal RNA
Source: RNAcentral